This 253-nucleotide ribosomal RNA is filed under the name uncultured bacterium. Its description in RNAcentral is "partial 16S ribosomal RNA". It matches the Rfam family "Bacterial small subunit ribosomal RNA", at positions 524 to 776 of the family's 1533-position model. The record is from RNAcentral.
UACAGAGGUCUCAAGCGUUGUUCGGAUUCAUUGGGCGUAAAGGGUGCGUAGGUGGCUGAGUAAGUCAGGUGUGAAAUCUCGGAGCUCAACUCCGAAACUGCACUUGAUACUGCCUUGCUCGAGUACUGGAGAGGAGAUUGGAAUUUACGGUGUAGCAGUGAAAUGCGUAGAUAUCGUAAGGAAGACCAGUGGCGAAGGCGAAUCUCUGGACAGUUACUGACACUGAGGCACGAAGGCCAGGGGAGCAAACGGG